AGCGUACACGGUGGAUGCCCUGGCAGUCAGAGGCGAUGAAGGACGUGCUAAUCUGCGAAAAGCGUCGGUAAGGUGAUAUGAACCGUUAUAACCGGCGAUGUCCGAAUGGGGAAACCCAGUGCAAUUCGUUGCACUAUCGUUAACUGAAUACAUAGGUUAACGAGGCGAACCGGGGGAACUGAAACAUCUAAGUACCCCGAGGAAAAGAAAUCAACCGAGAUUCCCCCAGUAGCGGCGAGCGAACGGGGAGCAGCCCAGAGUCUGAAUCAGCUUGUGUGUUAGUGGAACGGUCUGGAAAGUCCGACGGUACAGGGUGAUAGUCCCGUACACCAAAAUGCACAGGUUGUGAACUCGAAGAGUAGGGCGGGACACGUGGUAUCCUGUCUGAAUAUGGGGGGACCAUCCUCCAAGGCUAAAUACUCCUGACUGACCGAUAGUGAACCAGUACCGUGAGGGAAAGGCGAAAAGAACCCCGGCGAGGGGAGUGAAAAAGAACCUGAAACCGUGUACGUACAAGCAGUGGGAGCACCUUCGGGUGUGACUGCGUACCUUUUGUAUAAUGGGUCAGCGACUUAUAUUCUGUAGCAAGGUUAACCGUAUAGGGGAGCCGCAGGGAAACCGAGUCUUAACUGGGCGUUAAGUUGCAGGGUAUAGACCCGAAACCCGGUGAUCUAGCCAUGGGCAGGUUGAAGGUUGGGUAACACUAACUGGAGGACCGAACCGACUAAUGUUGAAAAAUUAGCGGAUGACUUGUGGCUGGGGGUGAAAGGCCAAUCAAACCGGGAGAUAGCUGGUUCUCCCCGAAAGCUAUUUAGGUAGCGCCUCGUGAAUUCAUCUUCGGGGGUAGAGCACUGUUUCGGCUAGGGGGUCAUCCCGACUUACCAACCCGAUGCAAACUACGAAUACCGAAGAAUGUUAUCACGGGAGACACACGGCGGGUGCUAACGUCCGUCGUGAAGAGGGAAACAACCCAGACCGCCAGCUAAGGUCCCAAAGUCAUGGUUAAGUGGGAAACGAUGUGGGAAGGCACAGACAGCCAGGAUGUUGGCUUAGAAGCAGCCAUCAUUUAAAGAAAGCGUAAUAGCUCACUGGUCGAGUCGGCCUGCGCGGAAGAUGUAACGGGGCUAAACCAUGCACCGAAGCUGCGGCAGCGACACUAUGUGUUGUUGGGUAGGGGAGCGUUCUGUAAGCCUGCGAAGGUGUGCUGUGAGGCAUGCUGGAGGUAUCAGAAGUGCGAAUGCUGACAUAAGUAACGAUAAAGCGGGUGAAAAGCCCGCUCGCCGGAAGACCAAGGGUUCCUGUCCAACGUUAAUCGGGGCAGGGUGAGUCGACCCCUAAGGCGAGGCCGAAAGGCGUAGUCGAUGGGAAACAGGUUAAUAUUCCUGUACUUGGUGUUACUGCGAAGGGGGGACGGAGAAGGCUAUGUUAGCCGGGCGACGGUUGUCCCGGUUUAAGCAUGUAGGCUGAUUGUCCAGGCAAAUCCGGAUAAUCAAGGCUGAGGUGUGAUGACGAGGCACUACGGUGCUGAAGUAACAAAUGCCCUGCUUCCAGGAAAAGCCUCUAAGCAUCAGGUAACAUCAAAUCGUACCCCAAACCGACACAGGUGGUCAGGUAGAGAAUACCAAGGCGCUUGAGAGAACUCGGGUGAAGGAACUAGGCAAAAUGGUGCCGUAACUUCGGGAGAAGGCACGCUGGUGUGUAGGUGAAGUCCCUGCGGAUGGAGCUGAGACCAGUCGAAGAUACCAGCUGGCUGCAACUGUUUAUUAAAAACACAGCACUGUGCAAACACGAAAGUGGACGUAUACGGUGUGACGCCUGCCCGGUGCCGGAAGGUUAAUUGAUGGGGUUAUCCGUAAGGAGAAGCUCUUGAUCGAAGCCCCGGUAAACGGCGGCCGUAACUAUAACGGUCCUAAGGUAGCGAAAUUCCUUGUCGGGUAAGUUCCGACCUGCACGAAUGGCGUAAUGAUGGCCAGGCUGUCUCCACCCGAGACUCAGUGAAAUUGAACUCGCUGUGAAGAUGCAGUGUACCCGCGGCAAGACGGAAAGACCCCGUGAACCUUUACUAUAGCUUGACACUGAACAUUGAGCCUUGAUGUGUAGGAUAGGUGGGAGGCUUUGAAGCGUGGACGCCAGUCUGCGUGGAGCCAACCUUGAAAUACCACCCUUUAAUGUUUGAUGUUCUAACGUUGGCCCCUUACCGGGGUUGCGGACAGUGUCUGGUGGGUAGUUUGACUGGGGCGGUCUCCUCCCAAAGCGUAACGGAGGAGCACGAAGGUUAGCUAAUCCUGGUCGGACAUCAGGAGGUUAGUGCAAUGGCAUAAGCUAGCUUGACUGCGAGCGUGACGGCGCGAGCAGGUGCGAAAGCAGGUCAUAGUGAUCCGGUGGUUCUGAAUGGAAGGGCCAUCGCUCAACGGAUAAAAGGUACUCCGGGGAUAACAGGCUGAUACCGCCCAAGAGUUCAUAUCGACGGCGGUGUUUGGCACCUCGAUGUCGGCUCAUCACAUCCUGGGGCUGAAGUAGGUCCCAAGGGUAUGGCUGUUCGCCAUUUAAAGUGGUACGCGAGCUGGGUUUAGAACGUCGUGAGACAGUUCGGUCCCUAUCUGCCGUGGGCGCUGGAGAAUUGAGGGGGGCUGCUCCUAGUACGAGAGGACCGGAGUGGACGCAUCACUGGUGUUCGGGUUGUCAUGCCAAUGGCACUGCCCGGUAGCUAAAUGCGGAAGAGAUAAGUGCUGAAAGCAUCUAAGCACGAAACUUGCCCCGAGAUGAGUUCU
Molecule: ribosomal RNA, 2771 nt
Filed under: Klebsiella pneumoniae
Lineage: Bacteria; Pseudomonadati; Pseudomonadota; Gammaproteobacteria; Enterobacterales; Enterobacteriaceae
Also listed under: 1 other name
Description: bacterial LSU rRNA
Rfam family: Bacterial large subunit ribosomal RNA
Source: RNAcentral